RNAcentral lists this ribosomal RNA (48 nucleotides) under Xiphinema diversicaudatum. RNAcentral describes it as "partial 5.8S ribosomal RNA". Lineage: Eukaryota; Metazoa; Nematoda; Enoplea; Dorylaimida; Longidoridae. The record is from RNAcentral.
AGCAUCGACUAUUCGAACGCACAUUGCGGUACCGGGCCAGCUCGGUAC